RNAcentral lists this ribosomal RNA (3606 nucleotides) under Triticum aestivum (bread wheat). RNAcentral's name for it is "partial small subunit ribosomal RNA". The record is from RNAcentral. Lineage: Eukaryota; Viridiplantae; Streptophyta; Magnoliopsida; Poales; Poaceae.
AUGGAAGCCGUGCACGGUAUACAGUCCCUGGCUUCAGGAGACGGCCACCACCACCUUUCCCGGACCCUUGGGCCGGCGCUGCUGAUCUCCGUGGGCUAUAUUGAUCUUGGCAAGUGGGUGGCCACGGUCGACGCCGGGGCUCGGUUUGGGUACGACCUCGUGCUGCUGGUGCUGCUUUUCAACUUCUCAUCGGUUCUGUAUCAGUACAUGUGCACCUGCAUCGGCAUGGUCACCGAGAAGAAUCUCGCACAGAUCUCCGACCAGGAGUACAGUCGGUUCAUAUGUGUCGGCCUUGGUGUCCAGGCAGGAUUGUCUUUGCUUACUUCAGAACUAACCAUGAUUUCAGGCAUAGCAGUUGGAUUCAACCUUGUAUUUGAUCACGAUGAUCUCAUCACAGGCAUUAUUUUUGCAUGCGUUGUAAUUAACCUGCUGCCGUAUCUCUUAUCCCCUCGGGACAAGAGGAUGUCUGGAAUGUUAAAUGCUUGCAUAGCGGGCUUUACGAUCCUUUGUUUUGUGCUUGGUUUGUUAAUCAGUCAACCAGAGAUACCUCUCCAUGUGAAUGUGAUGUUCCCCAAGUUGAGUGGUGAAAGUGCUUACUCACUGAUGGCACUUAUGGGUGCAAACAUAAUAUCACACAAUUUUUAUGUUCACUCAUCAGUUGUUCAGGUUCAAAAGAGGUCUCAUGUUCUUACCCUUCGUACCCUGUUUCAUGACCACCUUUUUUCUAUAUUAUUCAUUUCUACUGGAGUUUUUCUUGUGAACUAUGUUCUGUUGAGCUCAGCGGCAUCGGAAUCUAGUCACAAUGUGAUCCACUCCUUUCAUGAUGCUGUAGAUCUGAUGAACCAGAUAUUUACAAAUCCCAUGGCUCCACUUGUGUUACUAGCGGUUCUUCUCUUUUCGAGCCACAUUAUUUCGUUGACAUGUGUUAUCGCCAGUCGUGCAGUUAUGGAGAAUUUCUUUGGUGCAAAUCUGUCUCUUUCUGCGCAUCAUGUGCUACUCAAGGUUCUUUCCAUGAUUCCUACUAUCUAUUGUGCAAAAGUAGCAGGCUCCGAAGGGAUAUAUCAGUUACUCAUUCUUUGUCCAGUAAUCCAGGGCAUGACCCUGCCCUCCUCUGCUAUUCCUGUUUUCCGUAUUGCCUCAUCACGGUCAAUGAUGGGCAACUACAGGAUAUCUCUGUACGUUGAAAUACUAGCCUUCCUUGCAUUUCUUCUUAUGUUGUUCACAAAUAUCAUUUUCGCGGCCGAAAUCAUGUUCGGUGACAGCAGCUGGACAAACAACCUGAAAGGGAACACUGAAAGCCCUGUCAUAAUUCCACAUGCUGUACUAAUUCUAAUGUCUUGUGCGUCUAUUGCUUUUACACUCUUCCUGGCUGUGACUCCAAUAAAAUCAGCCAGUAGUGAAGCUGAAACUCAUGAGUGGUCUGUGCACUCUCCGAGAGAAGCACUGGGCACCACUCAUCACACAGAAGAUACUUAUCCGGAAUAUAUUGCGCGCGAAGAAAUUCAAAGGUAUUCUGUUGAUGUUGUUCCAAAGGAUUCAUUGGGAAGUCAUAAGAAAUCAGCUUUGGAGCAUACUGACAGUUCUGAAACCACUGCAGAAUCCGAUAACGGGGCUCAACAAUCAACUGCUCAUAUGGCGACUAUUCCUGAGGCUGACUCCUUAGCGCCCUGCAACCUCGAGGAGUCAAAAUCAGUUGUUAGGGUUGACUUUACAGAGUCAACUACAAAGGUUUCUACUGCCAUGGUAGUAGAACAAAGUUCAGCAGAGAAUAUCAAAAUGAAGAGCACGGCUGAGAAAGAUGUCGAAGUUGAAGCAGAUGUUUGCACAGACAAGGACAAUGAGACUUCACAUAAUGUGAGCUCCAGUAAUAAGUCCACUGGAGGCAAAGCACCCUCUUCAUCUUCCAGUGAUCCACCAUCCCUUGCUAUGAGCAGGUAUAAAGAAGCUGAUGCUAUCAGUGGCAGUAGUGGCCUCUCAAGGCAGCCUGGUUUGGGCCGUGCUGCAAGGAGACAGUUAGCAGCUAUUCUUGAUGAGUUCUGGGGGCAUCUUUUUGAUUAUCAUGGUAAGUUGACACAAAAAGCUAAUUCUGAAAGGAUCAACCUUUUGCUAGGACUGGACUUGGGAGUAGAUGGUUCAGCUGGGAGAACGGAUAACCAAAACACUCAAGCUUCCAAGAACCCCUUAGCGAGAGAUACAGUGCCAGGAUCAGGCAUCUCUAGCCCAUACUUGUCUUUUGGGCUUCAGAUGGGUGCCAUGGGGUCAUCAGCCUGGUCACAGAGCAUGCAUUUACCAAACACAGACGCUCUGAGUUCAAGCAGCACGUUUCUUGACCAAAAUGCAAAAGAAAUCACGAAUUAUGAUGGGGCACCUUACUGUGAUAACCAGUUGUGUCAGCCUGCUACCAUUCAUGCUGGGUAUCAGCUAGCAAACUAUCUAAAAGUGAUAGAUGCAAGUCGGCGUUCACGUUCCAGCAUUCCACUGAAGGCACAGCGACCUCCUAUAUCUUCUGAAUCCGCUGGUUCCAACUAUGCUGGCUCUGCUAUUCGUUCAUUUGGUUCUACCACUUUGCAGAACCCAACAAUGAGCGGCUUAAGUACAAUGAUGGUAGGAAGAUCGUAUUACGAUCCCACUACCAUUCUUGGUGGUGGCUCAUCUGCUUACCCAAAGAAGUACCAGAGCUCACCCGAUAUAUCUGCUGUAAUUGCUGCAAGCAGGAAUUCACUGUUGAAUAAAGCAAAUAUGGGCAGUGCUGCUGGAAAUCAGUCAUAUCUUAGUAGGGUGGCAUGUGAAAAAUCACGUGAUGUGGACGCAGCAAACAUGUUACAGAGCUCUAUGCAGUCGAGUAUGAACACCAAACCAGCAUCACUUUGGUCCCGGCAACCAUUUGAACAACUGUUUGGUGUGCCGAGUGCAGAGUUGAAUAAUAGGAGCGAGGUGAACACCGAGCGCAGAUCAAAUGUCACCAAGGAUGAUUUCUCAUACAAGGAAUCCGAAGCAAAGCUUCUCCAGUCUCUUAGGUUUUGCAUCAUGAAGCUCUUAAAGCUGGAAGGGUCGAGAUGGCUUUUUAGGCAGAAUGGUGGUUGUGAUGAAGAUCUAAUUGACCAAGUCGCUGCAGCUGAGAGAGUUUCACAAGAAACCACAAAUGGCAUGGACGUUAAUUGCAUGCACGGACAGCUCAAUUGUGGUGGUGAUUGUGUUUGGCAGGCUUCCCUGGUUGUUAGUUUUGGUGUCUGGUGUAUCCGUCGGGUGCUUGACCUGUCCCUUGUGGAAAGUAGGCCAGAACUUUGGGGCAAGUAUACUUAUGUUCUCAACCGUCUUCAGGGGAUCCUCGAUCCUGCAUUUUGUAAGCCUCGGAAACCCGUCACCGGGUGCUCAUGCCUCGAGAAAGCACGUCUGGUCGCCAAGCCGAUGCCCGCCACCUUCACCGCCAUAGCUGACAUCUUGCUGUUGAUCAAAGAUGUGGAGCAAGCCGUUUCGGGCCGGAGGGGUCGAAGCGGCACGGUGGCAGGAGAUGGUGCCUUCCCUAAAGGGAAGGAAAACCUUGCUUCUGUGCUCAAGCGAUACAAGCGUAGGCUCUCGAGCAACAAGCCACCUGCCGGACCAUAG